This 253-nucleotide ribosomal RNA is filed under the name uncultured bacterium. RNAcentral's name for it is "partial 16S ribosomal RNA". It matches the Rfam family "Bacterial small subunit ribosomal RNA", at positions 524 to 776 of the family's 1533-position model. The record is from RNAcentral.
UACGAAGGGUGCAAACGUUGCUCGGAAUUAUUGGGCGUAAAGCGCACGUAGGCGGCUUGGCAAGUCGGAUGUGAAAUUCCUCGGCUCAACCAAGGAAGUGCAUCCGAAACUGCCGAGCUUGAGUACUUAAGAGGAUCGCGGAAUUCCCGGUGUAGAGGUGAAAUUCGUAGAUAUCGGGAGGAACACCAGUGGCGAAGGCGGCGAUCUGGGAAGAUACUGACGCUGAGGUGCGAAAGCGUGGGGAGCAAACAGG